GACGAACGCUGGCGGCGUGCUUAACACAUGCAAGUCGAACGGUGAAGCGCCUUCCUUUUUGGUGGGUGUGGAUGAGUGGCGAACGGGUGAGUAACACGUGAGUAACCUGCCCCCUUCUUCUGGAUAACCGCAUGAAAGUGUGGCUAAUACGGGAUAUUCUGGGUCUGUCGCAUGAUGGGUCUGGGAAAGAUAUUGUUUCGGUGGGGGAUGGGCUCGCGGCCUAUCAGCUUGUUGGUGGGGUGAUGGCCUACCAAGGCGGUGACGGGUAGCCGGCCUGAGAGGGUGGACGGUCACACUGGGACUGAGACACGGCCCAGACUCCUACGGGAGGCAGCAGUGGGGAAUAUUGCACAAUGGGCGCAAGCCUGAUGCAGCGACGCCGCGUGAGGGAUUGAGGCCUUCGGGUUGUGAACCUCUUUCGCCAGUGAAGCAGGCCUGCCUCGUUUGUGGGUGGGUUGACGGUAGCUGGAUAAGAAGCGCCGGCUAACUACGUG
This 494-nucleotide ribosomal RNA is filed under the name uncultured bacterium. RNAcentral describes it as "partial 16S ribosomal RNA". It matches the Rfam family "Bacterial small subunit ribosomal RNA", at positions 28 to 507 of the family's 1533-position model. The record is from RNAcentral.